RNAcentral lists this non-coding RNA (264 nucleotides) under Pseudogymnoascus sp. VKM F-4519 (FW-2642). Its description in RNAcentral is "Eukaryotic small subunit ribosomal RNA". It matches the Rfam family "Eukaryotic small subunit ribosomal RNA", at positions 1565 to 1831 of the family's 1831-position model. The record is from Rfam by way of RNAcentral. Lineage: Eukaryota; Fungi; Ascomycota; Leotiomycetes; Thelebolales; Thelebolaceae.
UCGUGCUGGGGAUAGAGCAUUGCAAUUAUUGCUCUUCAACGAGGAAUUCCUAGUAGGCGCGAGUCAUCAGCUCGUGCCGACUACGUCCCUGCCCUUUGUACACACCGCCCGUCGCUACUACCGAUUGAACGGCUAAGUGAGGCUUUCGGACUGGCUCAGGGAGGUCGGCAACGACCACCCAGAGCUGGAAAGUUGUCCAAACUUGGUCGUUUAGAGGAAGUAAAAGUCGUAACAAGGUUUCGCUACUUUAAGUAUGGAGCAAUC